RNAcentral lists this ribosomal RNA (1068 nucleotides) under uncultured bacterium. RNAcentral describes it as "bacterial SSU rRNA". It matches the Rfam family "Bacterial small subunit ribosomal RNA", at positions 269 to 1361 of the family's 1533-position model. The record is from RNAcentral.
CAGCUUGACGGUAGCCGCUGAGAGGGUGACGCACACUGGACUGAGACACGCCCAGACUCUACGGAGCAGCAGUGGGGAUCUGCACAAUGGGCGGAAGCCUGAUGCAGCGACGCCGCGUGAGGGAUGACGGCCUUCGGGUUGUAAACCUCUUCAGUUGGGACGAAGCCCUUUCGGGGUGACGGUACCUUCAGAAGAAGCACCGGCUAACUACGUGCCAGCAGCCGCGGUAAUACGUAGGGUGCGAGCGUUAUCCGGAAUUAUUGGGCGUAAAGAGCUCGUAGGCGGUUUGUCACGUCUGCUGUGAAAGCUCGGGGCUUAACCUCGAGUUUGCAGUGGGUACGGGCAGGCUAGAGUGCAGUAGGGGAGACUGGAAUUCCUGGUGUAGCGGUGAAAUGCGCAGAUAUCAGGAGGAACACCGAUGGCGAAGGCAGGUCUCUGGGCUGUUACUGACGCUGAGGAGCGAAAGCAUGGGGAGCGAACAGGAUUAGAUACCCUGGUAGUCCAUGCCGUAAACGUUGGGCACUAGGUGUGGGGAACAUUUCCACGUUUUCCGCGCCGUAGCUAACGCAUUAAGUGCCCCGCCUGGGGAGUACGGCCGCAAGGCUAAAACUCAAAGGAAUUGACGGGGGCCCGCACAAGCGGCGGAGCAUGCGGAUUAAUUCGAUGCAACGCGAAGAACCUUACCAAGGCUUGACAUGCACUAGAUCGCCCUAGAGAUAGGGUUUCCCUUCGGGGCUGGUGUACAGGUGGUGCAUGGUUGUCGUCAGCUCGUGUCGUGAGAUGUUGGGUUAAGUCCCGCAACGAGCGGAACCCCUAUUCUAUGUUGCCAGCAAUUCGGUUGGGGACUCAUGGAAGACUGCCGGGGUCAACUCGGAGGAAGGUGGGGACGACGUCAAAUCAUCAUGCCCCUUAUGUCUUGGGCUUCACGCAUGCUACAAUGGCCGGCACAAUGGGUUGCGAGACUGUGAGGUUGAGCUAAUCCCAUAAAACCGGUCUCAGUUCGGAUUGGGGUCUGCAACUCGACCCCAUGAAGUCGGAGUCGCUAGUAAUCGCAGAUCAGCACGUGCG